GCCGGGGUGGUGAAACUGGUAGACACGCGAGACUCAAAAUCUCGUGCUCUUACGAGCGUGUGGGUUCGAGUCCCACCCCCGGCA
Molecule: transfer RNA, 84 nt
Filed under: Tamilnaduibacter salinus
Lineage: Bacteria; Pseudomonadati; Pseudomonadota; Gammaproteobacteria; Pseudomonadales; Marinobacteraceae
Rfam family: tRNA
About the family: Transfer RNA (tRNA) molecules are approximately 80 nucleotides in length.
Source: Rfam by way of RNAcentral